This 407-nucleotide ribosomal RNA is filed under the name Methylobacterium sp. RNAcentral describes it as "bacterial SSU rRNA". It matches the Rfam family "Bacterial small subunit ribosomal RNA", at positions 20 to 455 of the family's 1533-position model. The record is from RNAcentral. Lineage: Bacteria; Pseudomonadati; Pseudomonadota; Alphaproteobacteria; Hyphomicrobiales; Methylobacteriaceae.
UGGCUCAGAGCGAACGCUGGCGGCAGGCUUAACACAUGCAAGUCGAGCGGGCCCUUCGGGGUCAGCGGCGGACGGGUGAGUAACGCGUGGGAACGUGCCUUCUGGUUCGGAAUAACCCUGGGAAACUAGGGCUAAUACCGGAUACGCCCUUUUGGGGAAAGGUUUACUGCCGGAAGAUCGGCCCGCGUCUGAUUAGCUAGUUGGUGGGGUAACGGCCUACCAAGGCGACGAUCAGUAGCUGGUCUGAGAGGAUGAUCAGCCACACUGGGACUGAGACACGGCCCAGACUCCUACGGGAGGCAGCAGUGGGGAAUAUUGGACAAUGGGCGCAAGCCUGAUCCAGCCAUGCCGCGUGAGUGAUGAAGGCCUUAGGGUUGUAAAGCUCUUUUAUCCGGGACGAUAAUGAC